This is a long non-coding RNA of Catharus ustulatus (Swainson's thrush), 271 nucleotides long. RefSeq lists it as uncharacterized. The record is from RefSeq and is a predicted model, not a curated record. The transcript is spliced from 2 exons. NCBI's taxonomy places the organism in Eukaryota, Metazoa, Chordata, Aves, Passeriformes, Turdidae.
UUUAAUGAGAUUUAUUUGUCCAAGUCUGCUGUUAGUGAUUACUUUUCUUCUAGACUUUACACCUUCCUUCAAAUUCAGUUGUGCAUUUGUAUUGCCUUUACAGAGUAUCUUUGAUGAAGAGCAAUUUUAGAGUGGUUUUUCUAGGACCUCAAAAUACCAAACCAUAAAAGUAAUUCAGAAGCCCAAAGGAGUACUGCUCAGCAGUUAUAUCUGCAAUCAAAGUUUCCUCAGAUGUACUAAGAUGAAAUGCUCCACUUCAAAUGGUCCUAGG